RNAcentral lists this small RNA (107 nucleotides) under Marmota monax (woodchuck). Lineage: Eukaryota; Metazoa; Chordata; Mammalia; Rodentia; Sciuridae. The record is from RNAcentral.
GCCAGGCAUGGUGGUGCAUGCCUAUAAUCCCAGUGACUAGGGAGGCUGAGGCAGGAAGAUUGCAAGUUUAAGGCCAGCCUCAGCAAUUUAGUGAGACCUUGUCUCAA